Cyprinus carpio (common carp) is the source of this 388-nucleotide long non-coding RNA. RefSeq lists it as uncharacterized. The record is from RefSeq and is a predicted model, not a curated record. The transcript is spliced from 3 exons. Lineage: Eukaryota; Metazoa; Chordata; Actinopteri; Cypriniformes; Cyprinidae.
AACGUAACACGUCACCUGCGGAGCGUGCGUGACGUGUUUGAACGUGGCGGCGCGAAGCUGUAAAAAUCGGAGAAUAAGCGACGUAUAUUCGGUGUUUCUCAUCAAUGCCUGCAUAUCAAAUGAGAACAAAACUUUCAACAUUACAUUAACAGUCGAUGCUUGUAGCGUUAUAUAUCUGCUCUUAUUAACUGAACAGACAUGACAGCCACGGCUUGUAAUAAAUGGAAGGGCUUGUUCACCAUUGGAGAAGAGUUUGAUGAUGAGGAUUUGCUCGAAGCUGAUUGGACGUGUCCAUCAGAGCACGCAUCUUCUACAGCUCCUUCUGUAGCACCAUCAUCUGAAUCCUCACAUGUGCAGCAGAGCUCUGUUAGCUCGUCAUCAGGCCCUG